AAAAAUGUCCAUACCACCUUAAUUAUUCUUGUCUGAUCUGAUCUCGUCUGAAGCUAAGAAGAGUUGGGCCUGGUUAGUACUUGGAUGGGAGAUACCAGCGAAUACCAGCUGCCAC
RNAcentral lists this ribosomal RNA (115 nucleotides) under Periophthalmus magnuspinnatus. Lineage: Eukaryota; Metazoa; Chordata; Actinopteri; Gobiiformes; Gobiidae. The record is from RNAcentral.